This is a non-coding RNA of Callorhinchus milii (elephant shark), 79 nucleotides long. Lineage: Eukaryota; Metazoa; Chordata; Chondrichthyes; Chimaeriformes; Callorhinchidae. The record is from the annotation of a RefSeq genome assembly.
UCCCUGGAGCUCAGUGGUUAGAGCCCUCGCCUGGCAAGCGAGAGAGGACCCGGGUUCGAUUCCCGGGCGGAUCAGGGAG